UACGGGGGGGGCAAGCGUUGUUCGGAAUUACUGGGCGUAAAGGGUCUGUAGGUGGCUUGCUAAGUCAGACGUGAAAUCCCUCAGCUUAACUGGGGAACUGCGUCUGAGACUGGCGAGCUUGAGUGCAGGAGAGGAACGCGGAAUUCCAGGUGUAGCGGUGAAAUGCGUAGAUAUCGAGAGGAACACCAGUGGCGAAGGCGAGUCCCUGGACAACACCUGACACUGAGGCACGAAAGCUAGGGGAGCAAACAGG
RNAcentral lists this ribosomal RNA (253 nucleotides) under uncultured bacterium. RNAcentral's name for it is "partial 16S ribosomal RNA". It matches the Rfam family "Bacterial small subunit ribosomal RNA", at positions 524 to 776 of the family's 1533-position model. The record is from RNAcentral.